RNAcentral lists this ribosomal RNA (193 nucleotides) under uncultured bacterium. RNAcentral describes it as "partial 16S ribosomal RNA". It matches the Rfam family "Bacterial small subunit ribosomal RNA", at positions 319 to 508 of the family's 1533-position model. The record is from RNAcentral.
CGGGGGCACGGGGGGCCUACGGGAGGCAGCAGUGGGGAAUUUUGGACAAUGGGGGCAACCCUGAUCCAGCCAUUCCGCGUGAGUGAAGAAGGCCUUCGGGUUGUAAAGCUCUUUCAGCGGGAACGAAACGGUCGAUCCUAAUAAGGUCGGCUAAUGACGGUACCUGCAGAAGAAGCACCGGCUAACUACGUGC